UAACCAACUGAAGAGAGCCAUGUUAUAAAAAGCUUCUCUUGGAACAGAAUGCCUUGUUAAUGCAUCCCAGAUAGGUUAUCCCAGUUUGCACUCUCACCAAUGAUUAAUAAUGUUGAAGGAUAGCACAGAAGCAGAGACUUUAAGUCUAAACAGACCUAGAUUCAGAGCAGACCCGAUGCUGCUUGAAGAAGGCUGGAGGUAUGUUAAGGAGACAAGGGCUGUCAAGAAGCAGGGAUGUCUCUGGAAAGGGUGAGCAGCUGACGUCCUUUGUAAGUUCUCUGGGCAGCAUUGAUGGGAGGUGAAAACCUUGGGAAGAGUCUUGGUUUAACAUGGACUCUAAAUGGUAAAAAGUAAUUAGGGCCUCCUUUUUUUCCAUAAACUAUGAUAGACACUCUUAUAAAAUAUCUGUGUUAUCCUAGCUGCUUUUCUAUGAUAUUUUUGGACCCCUGACUUAUUUACACAAAUGAAAUGAUAGCUUUUGGUUGGAAAUUUCAAAUGUCUAAGGCACAAAUUAGACAUGGGACUUCAUUCACACUUCUCCUCUAGAUCUUAAUCAAGACACCCUACAAGCUAUAUUGGACAUUGCACAACGUUUACAAGUGCAAAAUGUACCGAACAUGUGUCAAGAAUUUUUAAAAUUUGCCAUUGUGGAGCAGUGCUCCAGCAUGAUUUGUAAUAGUGCGUUCUGCCUUCUAAAAUGUUUUGACUGCUGGUGGUAAUUGCUUUACAAGUGAAAAUUAGCCUCCUCAGUUCUCAGAAUACUUGUAAUCCGAGCAUAUCACACCUCCACAUUUUGCUUGUGAUGCUCUCUCUGUACCUUUUAUCUUCUUAGGCUGUUGAAAUAGUUCAAGUUUCAACUCAACUGUUGUCUACUCCGUGAAGCCUUCCUUGAUCCUCC
RNAcentral lists this long non-coding RNA (898 nucleotides) under Macaca mulatta (Rhesus monkey). RNAcentral's name for it is "lncRNA (ENSMMUG00000058682.1)". The record is from RNAcentral. Lineage: Eukaryota; Metazoa; Chordata; Mammalia; Primates; Cercopithecidae.